Molecule: long non-coding RNA, 1296 nt
Organism: Heterocephalus glaber (naked mole-rat)
Lineage: Eukaryota; Metazoa; Chordata; Mammalia; Rodentia; Bathyergidae
Source: RefSeq, a predicted model, not a curated record
UCCACUCUUUCACUUUCAAUGUAUUUGUUUUAAGGAGAGUCUCAUCAAUCAUAUGUAUUUGGAUGCAUUUUAAAAAUAAUCUUCAUUUUUCAGGUUUCUCUGAGAGUAUUUCAGUGAUUUCAAGAACUUCGAAUGUAACAGCACACUGCUCCUGGACUCUAAAAUAGCUAAUGAGAAAGCUGAUAAUCUUGAGGAUACCUUGAACACGUCCAGAUACUUCUUUCUCGUGCUUUUAGAAUUUUCUCUUGUCUUUGGCUUUUGAUAACUGACUAUGAUAUGUCUCAGUGUAGGAAUAUUUGAGUGCAACCUAAUGAAACUCUCAGAUGUUUAUGCCUUUCAUCAAAUUUGGGAAGUGUUCAUUUAUUCUUUCUUCAAAUAUUCAUCUGUAUCAUUGUGUCACUCUUCUCCUCCUCAGACUGCCACGAUGCUUAUGUAGUUUCUAUUUAGUGAUUUCCCAGAGGUCUGAUAGACUCUUUUCAUGUUUCUUCACUUUUCUUUUCUCUCUGCUCUUCAACAGUAUCCAUUAACCUGAUUUCAGUUCUACUAAUAAUAUUUUUCUGUCUGCUCAUAUCUGCUUGAAUUUUAUAAUUGAAUUUUAUAAUUCAAUUCAAUUAUUACACUUUCUGGCUCCAAAAUUUCAUUUUCCACCUCAUUUUAUUUUCAAAUAAUAUAUUAUAUCAUUUCAUGGUGCAUGUGAUUGGACAUCAUUAAAUGACUCCUAUUCUGCGGCUCUUAACCUGGAACUCAGAAACUUUCUCAUAUAUUUGGACAGUCUGCCAAUUUUGAACCUGUUUUAAUCUCAAAUUAUUUCCUAGCUCAGUGAGUUCUUAUACUGUACUGUAUAAGUACUGUAAUGCAACUAAACCAUGGAGGCUGCAUUCCCCACUUUUUGCUACAUAGUGACUGCUGGCUCUUUGGACAGUAGGAGUCAUCAUCUGUAACUGGUGGGGGAUGUCCUCUCAUUCCCCUGCCUCAGCCCUAAUCUCUGAGAAAGAGUAUAGAUUUUCAGGCUUCAGCACAUGGAGACUAUGCCCAUCAUAUCCUAACUUUUGCUUAUGAAAUAGACUUCUUUAAUAUGUCUUUUUCUGUUUCUCUAGGCUAGGAAUGUUAGCAGACUCUUUUCUUUGUAAUCACUAUUUUUCUUUACGAUAUUCUCUAACUUCUCAUAUCUUUUGUCAGCUGGAUAACCAACUCACUGUAAUAAUACACUUCUACUUUAAAUAUUGUUUUAUUUUUCUUGCUUGAUACUGAGUGAUAGAAGCAUUCAAUAAAUGUCACUAAUUGAUAUAAAUCAGA